RNAcentral lists this long non-coding RNA (927 nucleotides) under Homo sapiens (human). Its description in RNAcentral is "HSALNT0281535". The record is from RNAcentral. Lineage: Eukaryota; Metazoa; Chordata; Mammalia; Primates; Hominidae.
GAAAAGGUGAAAAGGCAGCGGAGGGAGCCGGCUGUCCUGUGUCUCCUCUUUUUCCUGCCCCCAGUGACUUGCAUUUUCUCUGAGACAGCUGCCAUUCUAGUCUCCCAGCCAUUCUUAGGAAGAGACGUGCCUGUCUCUGGGAAGAGGCAACUUCUCUGCAUGUCAGAGAUGGGGAAACCAAGGCUUAGUGAGUUAAGGAGACUUCGCAAAGCCUUGACCAACACCAGUAACAAAUGAAGGCCUUUUAGAUUCAGAAGAUCCUGACAAAGACUGAGAGUUGAGCAGGAAAACUUGAGCUCUCUGCAUUAAAAGGUCUGUUACAUUUCCCAGAAUGGUUCCCAGUGCUGGAGAUAAUUCCUUUUCGGAGAACCUACAUUUCUCACCUGCUGAUUGCAAUUAGCCACUACCAGCUGGGGCCUGGUGUGCAGCUGAAAAGCUAACAAGAAGUGGAGACCACGCGGAACUCAGACAGGGCAUAGGAUGUGCAUAAAUAAGCAACGGUGCCUGUGUUUAUGAGAUGCUCCUGUGAAUUCGAGGCUUCCCCACCCUCUGCAUAACUCUCCCUCUUCUGGCUUUGUGCUGCACACCCCUCCCCUAACUAUAUUUUUUGUCUCUGGUUUUGUAGCCUACGUUUAACAUCACAGUCACGAAUUUACCACUAAGUACAUUUUGUUAGGCAAUAAACAGCCUUGGAAGAAAAAUGAAAUCCGACUAGGACUUCUGUUCUAAUAAUGUCUGUGAGCUGUGGUGGAUUCAGGCAGGCCCCACAUGCAGGUCUUAGAGCUAACCUUGACCAUGAGGGCUAGUGGGGCUGGGAGAGGGCUCAGGGACCCCAAUUCAACUCCCUUAUUUUAUGGGGGAGGAUACUGAAUCCCAGAACGGGAGCAUGGCCUGUCCAAAGUCUUAAAGGAAGUCACAGGACUGGAU